Molecule: ribosomal RNA, 676 nt
Filed under: uncultured bacterium
Lineage: Bacteria
Description: bacterial SSU rRNA
Rfam family: Bacterial small subunit ribosomal RNA
Source: RNAcentral
GAAAAGAAUGCUAAUACCGCAUGACAUAUCGGAACCACAUGGUUCUGAUAUCAAAGAUUUUAUCGCUUGAAGAUGGACUCGCGUCCGAUUAGUUAGUUGGUGAGGUAACGGCUCACCAAGACCGCGAUCGGUAGCCGGACUGAGAGGUUGAACGGCCACAUUGGGACUGAGACACGGCCCAGACUCCUACGGGAGGCAGCAGUGGGGGAUAUUGCGCAAUGGGGGCAACCCUGACGCAGCAACGCCGCGUGAAGGAUGAAGGUUUUCGGAUUGUAAACUUCUUUUAUUAAGGACGAAAAAUGACGGUACUUAAUGAAUAAGCUCCGGCUAACUACGUGCCAGCAGCCGCGGUAAUACGUAGGGAGCAAGCGUUGUCCGGAUUUACUGGGUGUAAAGGGUGCGUAGGCGGCUUUGCAAGUCAGAUGUGAAAUCUAUGGGCUCAACCCAUAAACUGCAUUUGAAACUGUAGAGCUUGAGUGAAGUAGAGGCAGGCGGAAUUCCCCGUGUAGCGGUGAAAUGCGUAGAGAUGGGGAGGAACACCAGUGGCGAAGGCGGCCUGCUGGGCUUUAACUGACGCUGAGGCACGAAAGCGUGGGUAGCAAACAGGAUUAGAUACCCUGGUAGUCCACGCUGUAAACGAUGAUUACUAGGUGUGGGGGGUCUGACCCCUUCCGUG